UCAGCUGAGACUGCGCUUGACGGGGGCUUGAGGAAAGACCGGCUGACUGCCAGCAACUGUGGCACCUGCUGAAAAGGGUGGAUAAGUCUGGUUCAGAGCGGAUGAUGUCGGCUCGGUCACUGCUGUAGCAGCUGAGACGGCGCUUGACGGGGGCUUGAGGAAAGACCGUCUGACUCCCGGGAACCCUUCUGGUCCUGAGCACCAGCGGGAUCCAGCUGUGGCACCUGCAGAAACAAGUGGAUAAGUCGGGUUCAUAGAGGAUGAUGUCGCCUCGGUUACUGCUGUAGCAGAUGAGAAACUAGGAGACAGCUGGUCGAUGCCAGUGGGUUUCCACACUCAGAUUCCCAAGUCUUCUGACACCUAACUUCGAGGAGGCUUCGAGUGAGGACAUCGCUGCUUCGGUGCACAGGAAUGUCCUGUCAUUGGCUGCGUGUCGGGGGCAGGAGGAGAAGGAGCGCGUGUCGUUUCGAGCACUAACACAGUCCUCACACUGCAGCCAGCGGAGGUCCAGCCCGUUCCGGAAGGGGUGCGGUGAGGUCCAAACCGGCGCCGUCCCUCCUCCACCUCCAAGGAUCCGUCAGCACGCGCACGCGAAGGCGCCCGCACAUCUACCUUUGGUGAAAUGCAUGUC
Betta splendens (Siamese fighting fish) is the source of this 631-nucleotide long non-coding RNA. RefSeq lists it as uncharacterized. The transcript has 4 exons. The record is from RefSeq and is a predicted model, not a curated record. NCBI's taxonomy places the organism in Eukaryota, Metazoa, Chordata, Actinopteri, Anabantiformes, Osphronemidae.